UACAGAGGUCUCAAGCGUUGUUCGGAUUCAUUGGGCGUAAAGGGUGUGUAGGUGGCGCCGUAAGUCGGGUGUGAAAUUUUAGAGCUUAACUCUGAAACUGCAUUCGAUACUGCGGUGCUUGAGGACUGGAGAGGAGACUGGAAUUUACGGUGUAGCAGUGAAAUGCGUAGAUAUCGUAAGGAAGACCAGUGGCGAAGGCGGGUCUCUGGACAGUUCCUGACACUGAGGCACGAAGGCCAGGGGAGCAAACGGG
RNAcentral lists this ribosomal RNA (253 nucleotides) under uncultured bacterium. RNAcentral's name for it is "partial 16S ribosomal RNA". It matches the Rfam family "Bacterial small subunit ribosomal RNA", at positions 524 to 776 of the family's 1533-position model. The record is from RNAcentral.